UAUACAGCGGAACUGCGAAUGGCUCAUCAUAUAAGUUAUCGUUUAUUUGAUAGUGCCUUACUACUUGGAUAACCGUGGUAAUUCUAGAGCUAAUACAUGCUAAAAACCCCGACUUCGGAAGGGGUGUAUUUAUUAGAUACAAAACCAAUGCCCUUCGGGGCUCUUUGGUGAUUCAUGAUAACUAUACGAAUCGCACGGCCUUGCGCCGGCGAUGGUUCAUUCAAAUUUCUUCCCUAUCAACUUUCGAUGUUUGGGUAUUGGCCAAACAUGGUUGCAACGGGUAACGGAGGGUUAGGGCUCGACCCCGGAGAAGGAGCCUGAGAAACGGCUACUACAUCCAAGGAAGGCAGCAGGCGCGCAAAUUACCCAAUCCCGACUCGGGGAGGUAGUGACAAUAAAUACUGAUACAGGGCCCUUUCGGGCCUUGUAAUUGGAAUGAGUACAAUUUAAAUCCCUUAACGAGGAACAAUUGGAGGGCAAGUCUGGUGCCAGCAGCCGCGGUAAUUCCAGCUCCAAUAGCGUAUAU
This 526-nucleotide ribosomal RNA is filed under the name uncultured eukaryote. RNAcentral describes it as "SSU rRNA". It matches the Rfam family "Eukaryotic small subunit ribosomal RNA", at positions 75 to 604 of the family's 1831-position model. The record is from RNAcentral.